AUUGAACGCUGGCGGUAUGCUUAACACAUGCAAGUCGAACGGCAGCAUGGUCUAGCUUGCUAGACUGAUGGCGAGUGGCGGACGGGUGAGUAACGCGUAGGAAUAUGCCUUGAAGAGUGGGACAACUUGGGGAAACUCAAGCUAAUACCGCAUGUACUCGAGAGAGUAAAGCUGGGGACCUUUAGGCCUGGCGCUUUAAGAUUCGCCUGCGUCCGAUUAGCUAGUUGGUAGGGUAAAGGACUACCAAGGCGACGAUCGGUAGCUGGUCUGAGAGGAUGAUCAGCCACACUGGAACUGAGAGACGGUCCAGACUCCUACGGGAGGCAGCAGUGGGGAAUAUUGGACAAUGGGGGGAACCCUGAUCCAGCAAUGCCGCGUGUGUGAAGAAGGCCUGAGGGUUGUAAAGCACUUUCAGUGGGGAGGAGGUUUGGAAGGUUAAGAGCUAUUCAAAUGGACGUUACCCACAGAAGAAGCACCGGCUAACUCCGUGCCAGCCGCCGCUGUAA
Molecule: ribosomal RNA, 506 nt
Filed under: uncultured bacterium
Lineage: Bacteria
Description: partial 16S ribosomal RNA
Rfam family: Bacterial small subunit ribosomal RNA
Source: RNAcentral